Long non-coding RNA from Leptinotarsa decemlineata (Colorado potato beetle), 696 nucleotides. The record is from RefSeq and is a predicted model, not a curated record. Lineage: Eukaryota; Metazoa; Arthropoda; Insecta; Coleoptera; Chrysomelidae.
CAUUAAACCUAGAUAUUUCAGGAAAAACAUAACAUUAAUUGGUCCUUCUACGCCUUCACCGAAUCAGCCUGUUGAUUCCUAUCAGUAGUGAAGGGAAACAAGAUAACAUUUCUUCUGGUGGCUUACAGUUGGAGCAGAGUAAUGACAUCGAUGACAAAAACUCCACUUCUGAGUACUCACAUGCAGACACCAAGAAGAAAAUGUCACGGCGGGGUUCCAUUCAAGAUAGGAACAAGAGAAUCUCCACUUACAAUUAGCCUUCAAGUUAUCAAGUUAUAUGAAUGCCAUUUACCUCGUUUUGCUAGAGAUGGUAGAUAUUCUUUAGCCCACCUUUGCCAGAAUAAAUUUCACAAGGUAACGCUGAAUAAUUAGUUCCAAUCAAAAAAUGAUUUGGAGUUAGAGCCUCCAUAUCAUCUGAAUCAUUGGGUACAUGGGUAAGUGGUCUCGAGUUCAAAAUAGAUGUUCUAUUUUGUUAUUCAAUUAUAUGAGUUGUGUUAUGUUACAAAUCCACUAAAUCCACUAAAAUCUACUUCUCACAUUCUCUUAUAUACUCUGUUCAUAAUUCACUACUAUAACAAUUCAGUAUUUUUAUAAAUGUCACACGUUGUACAUGUACAUCAACCUGUGGACUUGAUGUAUUUAUUCAUUAUCAAUGGUUCGUUGUUUGUUAUUUUCAUAAUGUAUAUCUACUAUUAC